GGCGAACGGGUGACGUAACACGUGGGUGACCUGCCCUUCACUCUGGGACUAAGCCUGGGAAACUGGGUCUAAUACCGGAUAUUCACUCUUCCUCGCAUGGGGGUUGGUGGAAAGUUUUUUCGGUGGGGGAUGGGCCCGCGGCUAUCAGCUUGUUGGUGGGGUGAUGGCCUACCAAGGCGACGACGGGUAGCCGGCCUGAGAGGGCGACCGGCCACACUGGGACUGAGACACGGCCCAGACUCCUACGGGAGGCAGCAGUGGGGAAUAUUGCGCAAUGGGCGGAAGCCUGACGCAGCGACGCCGCGUGGGGGGUGACGGCCUUCGGGUUGUAAACCUCUUUCGACCUCGACGAAGCUUUCGGGUGACGGUAGGGGUAGAAGAAGCACCGGCCAACUACGUGCCAGCCGNCGCGG
This 413-nucleotide ribosomal RNA is filed under the name uncultured bacterium. RNAcentral describes it as "bacterial SSU rRNA". It matches the Rfam family "Bacterial small subunit ribosomal RNA", at positions 97 to 520 of the family's 1533-position model. The record is from RNAcentral.